GACGAACGCUGGCGGCGUGCCUAAUACAUGCAAGUUGAGCGCUGAAGGUUGGUACUUGUACCAACUGGAUGAGCAGCGAACGGGUGAGUAACGCGUGGGGAAUCUGCCUUUGAGCGGGGGACAACAUUUGGAAACGAAUGCUAAUACCGCAUAAAAACUUUAAACACAAGUUUUAAGUUUGAAAGAUGCAAUUGCAUCACUCAAAGAUGAUCCCGCGUUGUAUUAGCUAGUUGGUGAGGUAAAGGCUCACCAAGGCGAUGAUACAUAGCCGACCUGAGAGGGUGAUCGGCCCCAUUGGGACUGAGACACGGCCCAAACUCCUACGGGAGGCAGCAGUAGGGAAUCUUCGGCAAUAGACGAAAGUCUGACCGAGCAACGCCGCGUGAGUGGAGAAGGUUUUCGGAUCGUAAAACUCGGUUGGUAGAGAAGAACGUUGGUGAGAGUGGAAAGCUCAUCAAGUGACGGUAACUACCCAGAAAGGGACGGCUAACUACGUG
This 497-nucleotide ribosomal RNA is filed under the name uncultured bacterium. RNAcentral describes it as "partial 16S ribosomal RNA". It matches the Rfam family "Bacterial small subunit ribosomal RNA", at positions 28 to 507 of the family's 1533-position model. The record is from RNAcentral.